Boleophthalmus pectinirostris (great blue-spotted mudskipper) is the source of this 592-nucleotide long non-coding RNA. RefSeq lists it as uncharacterized. NCBI's taxonomy places the organism in Eukaryota, Metazoa, Chordata, Actinopteri, Gobiiformes, Gobiidae. The record is from RefSeq and is a predicted model, not a curated record. The transcript is spliced from 5 exons.
AAAAAACGGAAGUUGCAGAUGUUGAGGACUGGACUGGUAUGGAAAAGCCUGAGUGUGAUGUAGGCCUAUGCAUGAAUGAGGCUCCAUAACUUCUACUACAACCGUGCGAGUUCCUGUCAUUACGAGCUUAGUCACUGUUCUGUAGUCCAUGUACAGCACAAACUGUCCAUUAACCUGGCACACAAACUGGCGAACCUAAACAAAAGUAAAAAGACUGCAGCUGGACUUCCUGGGUCCACAGCUUGUAUAUAGCAAGGAGCAGUGCCUCUGACAACAAAGCCCCAGCCCAGAGCAUCUCCAAUCACCUGCAAUGAUGGGUUACACUGGACUGUAGAGAUUGAAGACAGUGGGGUGAAAGAAGGAAAAUCUGAUCGGAUCUUAAGAGAGUUCAAGCUGCCUCUGCGACCACUGUUGACUGACUUCAUUUCCUUACGAAGUCCCACUGUAAUUGCAAUACAGAUUCUCUACACGCCUGUGAUGAACAAUCCCGAAUGCGUGUUUUGCCUUUGCACCCAGCGGUCUUCAAAAUGUGCUGCUGUGGAGAAGAGAGAGAGGAGACCGAGCCUGGGCCCGCUGUGCUGAAGCGCAUCAU